CGAGAGCCUGACGGAGCAACGCCGCGUGAGGGAGGAAGGCCUGUGGGUUGUAAACCUCUUUUCUCAGGGAAGAAGUUCUGACGGUACCUGAGGAAUCAGCAUCGGCUAACUCCGUGCCAGCAGCCGCGGUAAGACGGAGGAUGCAAGCGUUAUCCGGAAUUAUUGGGCGUAAAGCGUCCGUAGGCGGUUAUAAAAGUCUGUUGUUAAAGCCCACAGCUCAACUGUGGAUGGGCGAUGGAAACUAUAUGACUAGAGAGUGGUAGGGGUAGAGGGAAUUCCUAGUGUAGCGGUGAAAUGCGUAGAUAUUAGGAAGAACACCAGUGGCGAAGGCGCUCUACUGGGCCAUUACUGACGCUGAUGGACGAAAGCU
This 370-nucleotide ribosomal RNA is filed under the name uncultured cyanobacterium. RNAcentral's name for it is "bacterial SSU rRNA". It matches the Rfam family "Bacterial small subunit ribosomal RNA", at positions 376 to 761 of the family's 1533-position model. Lineage: Bacteria; Bacillati; Cyanobacteriota. The record is from RNAcentral.